GUAAGUAUAAUUUAACCAAAAUAUUAGAUUGUGAUUCUGAAGAUAGGAGUUAAAACCUCCUUACUCACC
Molecule: transfer RNA, 69 nt
Filed under: Pseudocrossocheilus tridentis
Lineage: Eukaryota; Metazoa; Chordata; Actinopteri; Cypriniformes; Cyprinidae
Description: tRNA-His
Rfam family: tRNA
About the family: Transfer RNA (tRNA) molecules are approximately 80 nucleotides in length. Their secondary structure includes four short double-helical elements and three loops (D, anti-codon, and T loops).
Source: RNAcentral